This 486-nucleotide ribosomal RNA is filed under the name uncultured bacterium. RNAcentral's name for it is "partial 16S ribosomal RNA". It matches the Rfam family "Bacterial small subunit ribosomal RNA", at positions 30 to 507 of the family's 1533-position model. The record is from RNAcentral.
AUUGAACGCUGGCGGCAUGCCUUACACAUGCAAGUCGAACGGCAGCACGGGUGCUUGCACCUGGUGGCGAGUGGCAAACGGGUGAGUAAUACAUCGGAACAUGUCCUGUAGUGGGGGAUAGCCCGGCGAAAGCCGGAUUAAUACCGCAUACGAUCUACGGAUGAAAGCGGGGGACCUUCGGGCCUCGCGCUAUAGGGUUGGCCGAUGGCUGAUUAGCUAGUUGGUGGGGUAAAGGCCUACCAAGGCGACGAUCAGUAGCUGGUCUGAGAGGACGACCAGCCACACUGGGACUGAGACACGGCCCAGACUCCUACGGGAGGCAGCAGUGGGGAAUUUUGGACAAUGGGCGAAAGCCUGAUCCAGCAAUGCCGCGUGUGUGAAGAAGGCCUUCGGGUUGUAAAGCACUUUUGUCCGGAAAGAAAUCCUUGGCCCUAAUACGGUCGGGGGAUGACGGUACCGGAAGAAUAAGCACCGGCUAACUACGUG